GUUCCGCCAGGAGCAUCGCUCGGUAGCUAUGUCCGGCAGGGAUAAGCGCUGAAGGCAUCUAAGCGCGAAACCCGCCUGAAGAUGAGACCUCCCGGGGCGCAAGCCCCCUGAAGGGCCCUCGUAGAUUACGAGGUUGAUAGGCCGGAGGUGUAAGCGCGGCAACGCGUUGAGCUGACCGGUACUAAUCGCCCGUGCGGCUUGACCAC
RNAcentral lists this ribosomal RNA (206 nucleotides) under Candidatus Rokubacteria bacterium RIFCSPLOWO2_02_FULL_73_56. RNAcentral's name for it is "partial 23S ribosomal RNA". It matches the Rfam family "Bacterial large subunit ribosomal RNA", at positions 2723 to 2925 of the family's 2925-position model. Lineage: Bacteria; Candidatus Rokuibacteriota. The record is from RNAcentral.